CACGUAGGCGGUCUACUAAGUCAAAUGUGAAAUCCCUCGGCUCAACCGGGGAACUGCAUGUGAUACUGGUGGACUAGAGGACGGUAGGGGUGAGUGGAACUCCAGGUGGAGCGGUGAAAUGCGUAGAUAUCUGGAGGAACACCUGUGGCGAAAGCGGCUCACUGGACCGUCUCUGACGCUGAGGUGCGAAAGCUAGGGUAGCGAACAGGAUUAGAUACCCUGGUAGUCC
Molecule: ribosomal RNA, 229 nt
Filed under: uncultured bacterium
Lineage: Bacteria
Description: partial 16S ribosomal RNA
Rfam family: Bacterial small subunit ribosomal RNA
Source: RNAcentral